UUCCGGUUGAUCCUGCCGGAGGCCAUUGCUAUCGGGGUCCGAUUUAGCCAUGCUAGUCGUGCGGGUUCAGACCCGCGGCGAAAAGCUCCGUAACACGUGGCCAAACUACCCUGUGGAGGGGAAUAACCUCGGGAAACUGAGGCUAAUACCCCAUAACGCUCCCGACCUGGAGUGGUGGGAGCAGGAAACGCUCCGGCGCCACAGGAUGUGGCCGCGGCCGAUUAGGUAGACGGUGGGGUAACGGCCCACCGUGCCGAUAAUCGGUACGGGUUGUGAGAGCAAGAGCCCGGAGAUGGAAUCUGAGACAAGAUUCCAGGCCCUACGGGGCGCAGCAGGCGCGAAACCUUUACACUGCACGAAAGUGCGAUAAGGGGACCCCGAGUGCGAGGGCAUACAGUCCUCGCUUUUCUGUACCGUAAGGAGGUACAGGAAUAAGGGCUGGGCAAGACCGGUGCCAGCCGCCGCGGUAAUACCGGCAGCCCGAGUGAUGGCCGCUAUUAUUGGGCCUAAAGCGUCCGUAGCCGGCCGGAUAAGUCCGUCGGGAAAUCCAUCCGCUCAACGGAUGGGCGUCCGGCGGAAACUGUUCGGCUUGGGGCCGGAAGACCCGAGGGGUACGUCCGGGGUAGGAGUGAAAUCCCGUAAUCCUGGACGGACCGCCGGUGGCGAAAGCGCCUCGGGAGGACGGACCCGACGGUCAGGGACGAAAGCUAGGGUCACGAACCGGAUUAGAUACCCGGGUAGUCCUAGCUGUAAACGAUGGCCGCUAGGUGUGGCACUGGCUACGAGCCAGUGCUGUGCCGUAGGGAAGCCGUGAAGCGGCCCGCCUGGGAAGUACGUCUGCAAGGAUGAAACUUAAAGGAAUUGGCGGGGGAGCACUACAACCGGAGGAGCCUGCGGUUUAAUUGGAUUCAACGCCGGG
Molecule: ribosomal RNA, 919 nt
Filed under: uncultured archaeon
Lineage: Archaea
Description: bacterial SSU rRNA
Rfam family: Archaeal small subunit ribosomal RNA
Source: RNAcentral